This 83-nucleotide transfer RNA is filed under the name Streptomyces violaceusniger. Its description in RNAcentral is "tRNA-Glu". The record is from RNAcentral. Lineage: Bacteria; Bacillati; Actinomycetota; Actinomycetes; Kitasatosporales; Streptomycetaceae.
GCGCCGGCGGGCAGUCGGGCGGGCUGCGGACCGCCCUCGCCGGUCUGACCACCCGCGGCCGUUCCUUCCUGGCCGCCGGGGUG